Long non-coding RNA from Amphiprion ocellaris (clown anemonefish), 4246 nucleotides. RefSeq lists it as uncharacterized. The record is from RefSeq and is a predicted model, not a curated record. Lineage: Eukaryota; Metazoa; Chordata; Actinopteri; Pomacentridae. The transcript has 5 exons.
AUAGAAGACAGCGCGCUCUCGUAUCUAGUCUAUGUGUAUCUAUGGUCGGCACGUCUGGUAGCAUCUCUGGCUGCUGUUGAUCUUAUUUUUGGAGUAAAACACGGUGGAAGCUGAAUUAGUGAGGAUGACUCCUGCUCCUGUCAUCUCUAAGCUCCUCACACAUCUUUACCUGCACAUGAGGAAAAUCACUCCUGUAGAAUGCAGUGGUUCAUCAGAACCUCUGGGGAUGUCCUGUGGAUCCUGUGGAUCCUGUGGGUUGCAGGGUGGGUCCUACAUAGACCAGGCUGAUCCUGGACCAUCCCACAGAUGCUCCAUCAGAUCUGGAUGUGGGGAGUGUGGAACCCAGAUGUUCAGAGGGAGAUGAUGCCACAUCUGGUCCAGCUGAUGGAAGGUCUUGAAGUUCUCUGACUGGCCUCGACUGAAGAUGGUCGUCUCACUGGAUUUAAGGUUCAGAUGCUCAGUAACAAACUCCACCAAUGUGCCAACAGGGAAGCUUUAGGUUUAUUAAAUGUUGCUAUGAAGGUUUCGCUGUUUUUCUUUGUGAAUGCAAUGUGCUCCAACUGAAACUUGAAUUAGAACUUAGAAGUAAAUCCUUCCAUCUGAAAGGAUUUAGUUGCAUUAAUAACCUCAUAACAUUCUAAUUUUUAUUCCAGUCUUGGUUGGAAAUAGAAUCUCUGUAUUGAUUCAGGUAAAAACUGAACUUCACAGCAUGGAGCAAAACAACCAGAUGAAAACUGUGAUGGUGUUGGAUUGUCAGACCGUAAUGUUGCAGCUCAAAGCAGCUUUUCUAGCUCAGUUCAUUCUGACAUUCAGCUAUGAAUCAACACAGCAGAUGGUGAUCCAUGCUGUGGAAGUCUCACAUCUCCUGAUUUAAUGGAGCUGCUUUGCACUUUUUACACUGUUUAUUCACCAACACUUUAUUUAAUAAAAGUCCCAUCUAGUUUUUAUGAGGAAUGUGAUGUUUUAAUUUCUCUGUGAAUAACUGCAGUCUAAUGCAACAGCUGGAGUUGUAACAUCUGUCCUGAUAUUGAUCAUGAAGUAUUGAUCAGAAUACUUAUGGUUAGCAGUCAUCCCUGAAGUUUUACAUUCAAAUCUUUACUUGUGUUGUGAACUUUGGUAAGAAGCAGAGACUUUAGCGUUGCCAUGGAUACAUGAGUGUUAAAUUCUGUCCAUGUUUCAUUUUGGGAAAUUCAGUCCAGUUCCAGAAUGUGGAGGAAUUUAGUCUCACAAUCACAGACAACAAAUAUUAUCUGAAAGUCGGGUUAUUGUUGUUUAUCAGCACAAUACAAAAAGAUUAAUGUUAAAAAUAUUCCAGUUAAGACUCUAGAAUAUCAUGAUUUAUGUAAAUUUACCUCAAUAAUAUGAAUGUUCAGGUUAAGAUUGUGCAGUGAUAUUUAUUAUGCAAGUUUAGCUGAUUAAAGUUUAUGACUCUGCACUAAAAUAUUAUUUAAAUUGACAUCAUUAUUAUAAUAUUUAGGGUCAGACCCUACAGUAUUGAGAUUAAUAAAUCAAAUAUUCCAUAAAAUGUAAAUACACUGAACACAUUGGGAUAUAUUUAAGUGAGACUCUACAAUAUUAUUUGACACAAAUCUAUCUAAAUCAAAAUUUUCAUAAUUUUCACGCCAAACAUUUACUGGACUGAUUUAAAUAUUAAAAUCACUCCUUUCUAAUCCUCUGCUGUACGUUCAAACCUGAGGCCUUAAAUAGAGAAACACACAAGUAUCUGAUUGAAGGAACUUCUACAGAGUCCUGGUUCCAGAACAUGAUGAUAGAAUUAUAGACAAACUUUAACAAAAGCUGCCUGAGAGUUUACAGGUUUUUAUGCUGGAUUUCUUCAGUAAUUUAAUGAGCUUUAUCAGCAAUAAUCAAGUGUUCAUUUGAUGAACUUCAUUUCCUAAAACAUCCAGAAUUGGAGCUCUUAUCUUUGGCAGCUGUAAAGUUUCUGCUCCUUCAAAGUUCACAAUGAAUUAAUUCCUAAAACACUCUCAAUGCUGGAGAGCGUUUGAUGCUGAAGCAGUGACCAGUUUUUCUGUUUCUUCUCUGGAGAUGCACAAUGAGGGACGUCUGCAGAGACUGAGAAAGAGUCUCACCACAUCCUGACAUGAGGAAAAAGACUUUAUUGAAGACUACAAUGAGAAAAACUAUCAGACAGCAGACGGCUGCAUUCAAGGUGAACUCUGAACAUUUGAUCUGGAACAGGAAUUCAAUAACGGCAGCAUGAGCUUCAUUUCAGUCUGUAGCUGCUGAAUUCAUGGAUGAAUCAUCUGGCACUAGAGAAGAAGACCAUCAAACAUCCACAUCAGCUGAUGGAGGUCCAGGAGUCUCACCAAACAAACAACCUACAGAGUGAAGACCUCAAAUCUGAUUGGAUGGCCUCCUAUUCAGCCACAGUUUAGGCUGUUAGAUUGUUCCAGAUAAGACAAGUACAAGAUUCUUCAGAGCCGUUCUACCACGAGCCUGACAGGAAGAACUCCAACAGCUACUGAAUGUUCCUGUGGUUCCCUCAAGGCUACAGGAGGAGUCCUACGAGGACGAGCUGGUCCACCUGAUGGCGGCCAGUCGCUGCGGUUCAAAGCCAACACCGACUACGUGGACUUCUACUGGACCACAUGGAGGCCUUCAAACCAGACCAACGAGUUCAUCGACUCCCCGACUCGUGGGUCUGAGGACGCCACCGAGCCUCGGUCCAGCUGGCCUCCUGUCUGUGGAUGUUUGAGUGCUGAGAGGUUUAUGGAUGCAUGUGAAUGUGUCUGUGUUGAAACAGCAGCUUUGGACUCACUAACGCUGGUAAAAACCAAGAGCUCCUUUAUUUGUGACUUCCACUGAAAAAAAUGAUGAACAUAAGUUUGCCAGGGUUCUGACUGAUAACAGAUUAUUAAAUAAUGAAAAUAAUCGUUUAAAUAUUCCUUUAAACAAUCCUUUUAGGUCUACAUUUUCUUUACACUGACUUCUUGGUAUUUUGGGUGGAAUAUACCAUUAAGCCCAAUGUUCAAGGGUUCCUCUGGGAAUAUAUCAUUAAACCAACCUUUUAGGUAAAUGUUCCAGGAUAUUGGGUAGAAUAUACCACCUUUUAGGUCUACGUUGGAAGAUUUUAGAGUAGGCUAUUACUCCAAACCAUCCUUCAGGUCUACAUUGAAGGUGGAAUACUCCUUUACACCAAGAUUUUUUUGCUCUAUAUUGAAGGAUUUUAGGUGGAAUAUUCCUUUUAACCAGCCCUUCAGGUCUCUUUGAGGAUUUUGGAUGGAAUACUCGGUUAAACCAACAUUUUAGGUGCAUGUCCAAGGAUUUUUGGUGGAAUGUUCCUUUAAGGUGGAUGUUUGAGGACCUUGUAGGUGGAACACUUCCUGAAACCAACCUUUUAGGUCAACAUUCAAAGAGUUAAGGUGGAAUAUUCCUUUAAACCAACCUAAAUUUCAUGUUUUGAUCAUUAUCAAGUGAGAAACCUCAAUCCAGACUCCUCAUAAUGACGUUUGAGAUUUAUGCUGCUGUUAUUUGUUUAGUCCGGACAAAAUGACAGAAAUCCACAACUGUAAAUUUAUUACAGGACUCAGUUAUUAAAUGUCAAAACAAUCCAUGUGACUCUAAAAACUCAACAGCUGUACAAACUCCAAGAUUAAACUCUCCACAAGGAUCCAAAAUAAGUUGGACUUCUACAUGAGAGCUUUAAUUAGUCUUCGUCUACUUCCUGAAAAGUUUGGUCAAUAAAAAAGACAAAAACUGGUAUUUUCAGCUGAACUAAAGACAGACUUUGUGAUUUUUCUGCUCGCAUAUUGUGUUGUUGUAAACUUACUCUUUCAAAUAAAUAGCAGCCUAAACCCCUGGAAACCAGCGUUUGUCCUGUUUUUGUGUUGCUCCUCGGCGACCCUAGACAGCAGGGUCCUAAUGUUUUUUGAGCAACACACCAUACUAUAACGUUUUUACAAUGAUGGUUCUACUAUGGAACCAGUUUGACAUGUUCAGGUGUUCUUUGUGUGAAAACUCAGAGAUUUCAGGUAUCAGAAGGUGGUUUUCAACUUUCUUUGUUAACUUUCUGCCUCGUCUUUAAACUAAAUUUCCUUCACUAACCCAGCCCUCUGGACUUCCAGUAAGCUGUGUUCCUAUUGGCUGUCCAGGUGGCUGCUUGGUGUUAUCAGGAACACCUGAGCAGCUCAGUGUCUUCCUGCUUUAUUUAGCUGCAGACAAACAUUUCCUCUGCUUCACUUCACCACUGAACUGGGUUUGGCUCCGUUGCUUUAAUUUGUUCUUU